CGAUGUCCUAUCAUUCUUGAUGGUUCAGGAAGCUGCUGGGACACAGGACAGACCCCUCUACAAUGGAAACAAGGUCUGCAUCAUCAGCUUCAGAUGUGUUCUUGGAGCCAUGACCGAAGGGUUCACCUCGAGUUGGGGACUUUCUGGAAGUUAAUCCGCGAGGGACCUCCAGGAGAAGCCUCGAAGCACCCAUUCAGGCACCCUCCUCUGGCUUCAAGAUCUCCUGGAGGGAAAACUGAGCCAUACCAUUCCUGGGAGAGGAGAUCCAAGCGGGCCAGAAGAGGGAAGAGUGAUCCAGAUCUAACAUUUGAAGGCGAGCCACAUCUCGUCCUUUGCGUUCUCCAUGGAACCUUCAAGUGCCAAAACACCGAGGAAGGGUGCUGUGGCUUGGUGACUGUGUGUCACUAUGGAUACUGUGGCAUAAGGAGAUGGCUCUGGCCAUUUGCCUUUGAAGAUGAAGCUUGCCUUCUCCAGAUGAUUUUCUCUUUCCUUCAAGGUCACACGGGGAGGAAGGGGAUUUCUUAUUGCUGCUUCUUCCUCCCUGCUCUGCCUACCACGAGCCACCCAGCCACGUUAGGUCUGAAGACCCAUCAAGGGACAGGAGCCCCCCCCCCCCC
Long non-coding RNA from Onychomys torridus (southern grasshopper mouse), 617 nucleotides. RefSeq lists it as uncharacterized. The transcript is spliced from 3 exons. Lineage: Eukaryota; Metazoa; Chordata; Mammalia; Rodentia; Cricetidae. The record is from RefSeq and is a predicted model, not a curated record.